UUAAAAAGAAUCAUAAAACUGCUCUUAAAGGAUAGUGCAGAGGGUGGUAGUGGAGGAGACCUAUUUAGACAGGGCAGCAAGGAUUACCUCUCAAGAAACCAUAUGUAAUGAAUGAGCAGGAGUCAGCUGUGCUAAGUUCUUGGGGAGAGUUAGGGAUGGGAGUUCCUCUAGGGUCCAGGCAGUGGGAACAGUAUGUAUAAGGUUUAUGUGAACAGCAUCCAAUAAACAUUUGAGUGGUUUUAACCAAGAAUAUUUUCAUUCUUUGUGCAGGGCACUGAGUUAAAGUCUGUCUUAUAAACAGGAUAAAUGCCUCCUUCACUGAAAACUGAGGCUUAAUUGAUCAAUCUUGGAAAAAACCCCUUGGAUAGAAGGAAGUAUCAGUUCUGCACAGCAGUCUCCUUUCCCUUGGGGAUAUUGUAUGAUAACAUUGGUGAGAACAUAUUUGACACUUUAUUUGUAAAAGGU
RNAcentral lists this long non-coding RNA (465 nucleotides) under Homo sapiens (human). RNAcentral's name for it is "HSALNT0091768". The record is from RNAcentral. Lineage: Eukaryota; Metazoa; Chordata; Mammalia; Primates; Hominidae.